GCGGACGGGUGAGUAAUGUCUGGGAAACUGCCUGAUGGAGGGGGAUAACUACUGGAAACGGUAGCUAAUACCGCAUAACGUCGCAAGACCAAAGAGGGGGACCUUCGGGCCUCUUGCCAUCGGAUGUGCCCAGAUGGGAUUAGCUAGUACGUGGGGUAACCGGCUCACUUUAGGCGAAGAUCCCUAGCUGGUCUGAGAGGAUGACCAGCCACACUGGAACUGAGACACGGUCCAGACACCUACGGGAGAGCAGCAAGUGGGGAAUAUUGCACAAUGGGCGCAAGCCUGAUUGCAGCCAUGCCGCGUGUAUGAAGAAGGCCUUUCGGGUUGUAAAGUAACUUUCAGCGGGGAAGAAAGGGAGUUAUAGUUAAUACCUUUGCUCAUCGACGUUACCCGCAGAAGAAGCACCGGCUAACUCCGUGCCAGCAGCCGCGGUAAUACGGAGGGUGCAAGCGUUAAUCGGAAUUACUGGGCGUAAAGCGCACGCAGGCGGUUUGUUAAGUCAGAUGUGAAAUCCCCGGGCUCAACCUGGGUACUGCAUCUGAUACUGGCAAGCUUGAGUCUCGUAGAGGGGGGUAGUAUUCCAGGUGUAGCGGUGAUAUGCGUAGAGAUCUGGAGGAAUACCGGUGGC
This 631-nucleotide ribosomal RNA is filed under the name uncultured Pseudomonadota bacterium. Its description in RNAcentral is "bacterial SSU rRNA". It matches the Rfam family "Bacterial small subunit ribosomal RNA", at positions 98 to 716 of the family's 1533-position model. Lineage: Bacteria; Pseudomonadati; Pseudomonadota. The record is from RNAcentral.